GUGUCCGACACGUCUGCGGGAGCAAAUGUUUGUGGGCUCGAUUUACACGGUUCCGUUGCUGCUGAUCAAUGAACAGAGGUAGAGAGGGCGCAGAGCUAAGGGGUUGGGUUGUGGGCUCGUUUGGGAGGGGUGGCAGGCGCGGUACCCGCCGCUCUACGGGCCGUGGCUGCCGCUCCCGGUGAGGCGGGGGCGGGGACGGAGGCGGAGGCCUAAGGGCGGCAGCCGCGGCGGCAUAAUAGUUGUCGUCGUCGUGGUCAUGCCGUGGAAGCCUCGGGGCAGGCGCAGACCGCUCAAGGGCGUCGGCCGCCAGCCCAAGGGGGUCGGACGAGGCGGCGGACCCAAGGCCUUGAUGGGCGGCGGCGGAGGCGGCAGGAUGCGCCAGAUGGGAGGAGACGUCCGAAUAAGCCGGCGGCGCGGGAUGAUGCGGGUCCCGAUGGUCCGGCACGUUCCAAUAUAUGGACAACAACUUCCUUCUGGACACUCCUACGCUGCAGAAGGUACGACACCGGAACCGUACCCAACCAAAGACAAGUAAUAACCGAAGAAGAAACGACGGUAAGGCACCAUACAACCUCGAAAACAAGACUAGACGCAGGCUCAUGUACUGAUGUCCCUCUUUGGUCCUAUACAACGAACAUGAUAACGACGAAGUGAACGACGUUAACGGUACAACGAACCACGGUGUUUUCCUCGUCUCCACACCACUCGACCUAAACUAGUAGCCGCCAAACGAAUAUUAUAUAUGUAUACAAGUAAGAGGGAGAUGAGACAGCCCAUAAGACUAAACAUGUACAUACGCAUCUUUUCUAUAUUACCUUCCUCUGACCAAGUGAUAGUAUACACAACAUACUGGAUAUUAGCAUCUUACUAUCAUAAACAGAAGGCCUUUUUUUUCACACGGACAUCGAGAGCGCUGA
RNAcentral lists this ribosomal RNA (917 nucleotides) under Triticum aestivum (bread wheat). RNAcentral describes it as "partial small subunit ribosomal RNA". The record is from RNAcentral. Lineage: Eukaryota; Viridiplantae; Streptophyta; Magnoliopsida; Poales; Poaceae.